This 148-nucleotide non-coding RNA is filed under the name Chlorocebus sabaeus (green monkey). Lineage: Eukaryota; Metazoa; Chordata; Mammalia; Primates; Cercopithecidae. The record is from Rfam by way of RNAcentral.
GCCGGGUGUAGUGGUGCACGCCUGUAGUCCCAGCUACUCAGGAGGCUGAGGUGGGAUGAUCACUUGAGCCUGGGAGGUCUAGGCUGCAGUGAGCCAAGAUCACGCCACUGCAUUCCAGCCUGAGCAACACGAUGAGACCCUGUCUCAC